GUUCCCAUUAGUUCUACGGUAGAACUAAGCAGUAGAACUAGUGGGAACAAACCUGUAAUGCGUUUCAAGGACAAUCCGAGGUCCAGAAAUGACAAUGCUUCGUAUGUAUAUGAAGUGAAGCAGACAGGAGGCAGCAAAACCGCACCACUACAUUGCCGGGGAUCCCAGCAAGGGCUGUGGGCCAUAGCUCUGAGGCCCCUUAAAGGUGGUGGGAGGUCAUUCCAGCAGUGUGUGGCUGCAAAUUUGAAGCUGCCCCUAAAAGCUGCAGUUUUGUGAGAAGGAACCUUCAGCGGAGCAACUAUGGAGCGAAGACUAUAGCCGAAGACUCGGGAUAAGUCCCCCUCCGUGCGGAUCCUCUGCGCCUUGUCCCCCGGCGCCUUCCUGACGAGGAUGCGACCCUGCUUGGUCCAGACAAACUUCCAGCCAAGAGCGCUGGCCGCUUCCCGUGCUUGACGAAAUAACAAGCGGUUAACUUUAGUCAACCGCUCGUUUAAGAAGAACCGCUGCGCCGGCCCGGGCAUGCCGAGAUCCGUCGUAGUUGCGCCUCGUCGCACUCGCGCGCUCGCCAUAAGCUGGUCACGCAGGUCUCGGCGAGCAAGGCGCACGACUAUCGGCCGCGGGCGUGAUAUGGUUGGUCCCGCUGAGUUCGUCGCGUUGAGCUGCCUGCCACCUACACGCUCUGCACUGACGAUAUCUCGAUCUUCCAGGCUGAUCCCUAACUUGUGACCUAAGGCUUUGAUUAAAUGGGUAGGGUUUUCCGCUUGUUCCUCCGGCAAGUUGGACACCUCUAUAUCAUUAGCAAGAAGCUCCUGGUCCCUAUCAUUGAGCUCCCGCCUCAGCUCCUCCACUAAUUCGCCUACGUUGUCGGAGUUCGUGGGCCUCGAGGUAGCACGCUGUUCAAGUGCGUCUACCCUGGCCUCUAGACCGUCGACGCGCGCGCUGCAGCAGUUCAAGGUGGACUUAAGCUCCGACAUUUCCACCUCCAUUUCUCUCCUAAACACCUGUAUCUCCGCACGAACCGCUCUCAGCUCGUGAAGGAUUACGUGCAGGUCAUUGCUAGGUACAGGUGACAACUCACGAAUGGUGGUGGUGGCGGCAUUGAGCGACGUUGCGUUUUUGCUAGGUGAGCUGGAGUCCAGGAUCGAAAUUCCUGCGACAUCGCUUGGAGAACUAUGUGUGGGGCCUCUGACAGGGGUAUCGUUUCUGUUGUCCCUAACAAUGUUUUUCUUACACUCGAGACAUCGCCAAGUGGGAGGAACGGAGGCUUUUGUAGUGAAUCCUCCACAUGUUCUACAGUAGAGAACCUUGCAUUUCCCACACCUAGCGCCAUCUACCGACGAGGUAUAACGAGAGCAACCUCCACAUUUGAUACCCGGCAUCGUUGGUGACUGUGACAGUUCAAGUAUCACAAGUGGUUCCGGUCCGACUCACUAGAUGGCGAUGUUGGUGAUCCACUAGACAGAUCAAUAAGCAGCUUGUCACCACGAGACAGAUGGCACUGCAGUUAGUGAUGGGCGAUUGCACUUUGUUAUAGUCUGUGGCAACGAUGUCAAAACUCACGUCCAGCAAACCAAAUUAAUUAUUUUGGCGGGUAACCGUAUAACUUUGUACCAAAAACCGUAUUUUAAUUUGUUGAUUUACAGCCCAAGGCCGCACUAUUUCACUCUCACUACAAACUAUGUAUAGCUGACUGACACAAUGUAAACAAUAAAAAGUUUUUGAUGCA
RNAcentral lists this long non-coding RNA (1726 nucleotides) under Helicoverpa zea (corn earworm). Its description in RNAcentral is "uncharacterized LOC124629796". The record is from RNAcentral. Lineage: Eukaryota; Metazoa; Arthropoda; Insecta; Lepidoptera; Noctuidae.